This 407-nucleotide ribosomal RNA is filed under the name uncultured bacterium. RNAcentral describes it as "partial 16S ribosomal RNA". It matches the Rfam family "Bacterial small subunit ribosomal RNA", at positions 30 to 526 of the family's 1533-position model. The record is from RNAcentral.
AUUGAACGCUGGCGGCAGGCCUAACACAUGCAAGUCGAGCGGAGCGGCGGACGGGCGAGUAAUGCCUAGGAAUCUGCCUGGCAGUGGGGGAUAACGUCCGGAAAGGGGCGCUAAUACCGCAUACUAUCAGAUGAGCCUAGGUCGGAGUAGCUAGUUGGUGGGGUAAGGGCCUACCAAGGCGACGAUCCGUAACUGGUCUGAGAGGAUGAACAGCCACACUGGAACUGAGACACGGUCCAGACUCCUACGGGAGGCAGCAGUGGGGAAUAUUGGACAAUGGGCGAAAGCCUGAUACAGCCAUGCCGCGUGUGUGAAGAAGGUCUUCGGAUUGUAAAGCACUUUCAGUUGGGAGGCGUUACCAGCAGAAUAAGCACCGGCUAACUUCGUGCCAGCAGCCGCGGUAAUAC